CAAUAGCGUAUAUUAAAGUUGUUGCAGUUAAAAGGCUCGUAGUUGGAUUUGUGGCAGUCGCGUGCGGCCCGGCAUUCGUGCCGGUGCUUGCUAGCGUCGCCAUCCUUGGGUGGAACCUGUGUGGCAUUAGGUUGUCGUGCAGGGGAUGCCCAUCGUUUACUGUGAAAAAUUAGAGUGUUCAAAGCAGGCUUAUGCCGUUGAAUAUAUUAGCAUGGAAUAAUAAGAUAGGACCUUGGUACUAUUUUGUUGGUUUGCGCACCAAGGUAAUGAUUAAUAGGGACAGUUGGGGGUAUUCGUAUUCCAUUGUCAGAGGUGAAAUUAUUGGAUUUUUGGAAGACGAACUACUGCGAAAGCAUUUACCAAGGAUGUUUUCAUUAAUCAAGAACGAAAGUUAGGGGAUCGAAGACGAUUAGAUACCAU
This 420-nucleotide ribosomal RNA is filed under the name uncultured eukaryote. Its description in RNAcentral is "SSU rRNA". It matches the Rfam family "Eukaryotic small subunit ribosomal RNA", at positions 592 to 1018 of the family's 1831-position model. The record is from RNAcentral.